Hemibagrus wyckioides is the source of this 5067-nucleotide long non-coding RNA. RefSeq lists it as uncharacterized. NCBI's taxonomy places the organism in Eukaryota, Metazoa, Chordata, Actinopteri, Siluriformes, Bagridae. The record is from RefSeq and is a predicted model, not a curated record. The transcript is spliced from 11 exons.
AGUGGAUCAGUGAGGGUGGGUCGCGAGAUGAUUUCCAGAAAUCAAGUAAACUUUUUAAACUAUUAGAAAUAGCAUGUUUUGGGGGGCGGAGCGAUGCAGGUUACCGAGUAGCGGUGUUUGAGUUAGGCUCCGGCUUAAUUGUUGAAAAUUAUCCUGAUUUAAGUUGUGUGACAGCCAUUGUUUUCAUAAACGUGAGCUAUAGUGUUUUUUCAUGUCACUGGAAAACUUUUGGGGACCAUCUUUAGUGAAAAUGCUGGCUAAAAGUACGAAAAAACCCGCGGAGAAGAAAGAUGGCACGACUCCCCACGAGGCUGAACCGAGCAGUGAUCAAACUACCCUACUUACACACGUCGCUACAGAUCUAAGUCCUGAAACUAGUAGGGUAGUGGAAUUGCUGACGGCUAAUAUCGCAAGAAUGAUUGAUUCAAAACUAGAGCUGAUACUGGAGAAGAUACAGGAUGUUUCCAAAGAAGUGCAGCGCACUAAUAGAGUUGAAGAAGCGGAGCAGCGAAUCUUAGUUCUUGAAAACACGUCUACUGGGACUGAGAGUCGGGUUGUGCAAAUGGAAAAGAUGAUUGCUUCCUUAACUGAGUGGCUGGAUGAUCAAGAAAACAGAGGGCGACGUCGUAAUUUGAGGAUUAUCGGUCUUCCGGAGAGGACGGAGGGUCAGGUGGCGGUUGACUUCAUGGAAAAAUAGAUUCCCGACAUACUCCACCUGGAGACGAAAAGCGGGCGAGUGAAGCUAGAACGAGCACAUAGGAUUGGUGCCCCAGGGACCGAGAGGUACACCCAGCCUAUGAUCGUUCGAUUUCACAACUUCGCAGAUCAUCAGCGAGCGAUGGAUGCAGCAAGGAAGCUAAAAGACGUACUUUUCAAGGGGAAGAGAAUCCACUUCUUUCAGGAUUUUUCUGCGGAGACACAAAGGAAACGCCGCAGAUUUGACAACGCUCGGAAAAGACUUCAGGAUAUGGGACUUCGCUACUCCAUAACUUACCCUGCCGUUCUGAGGAUAACAACUGAUAACUCUGUUAAGAGCACUGAGCCAACAGCCACUAGAUGUCUUGUCCUGAGGGGACUUCCAGUCAUUCUUGGGGAUGAUGCAUCUAUGUUCUUCAAGAGCAGCUCUGUCACAAUGUUGAUAAAAGUGCAACAUGGAGGGAGGAAGAAGUUUGUUUCUCAGAUUUUCUCAGUGCAGUUCAGCAGAAGUUUCUGAUACCAGAGGAUACAACAUUGAAAGUCACAGAUGACCAGGGCAUAGAAGUGGAUGAGGAUGUCUUUCCAGAAAUUAUAACAACCAAAGAAAUGUGCUUUUUCAUUCACAGUGAUGAUGAACUUCCAUUUUCUGAAACAUCCAAGAACUUCUCAGACCUGACAGAGUUUGGUGCCUCCUCAGAUCAGACAGAAUAUGUUACUCUCACUACCGAUGUGACUGUCCUGCAGCAAGGGCCCUCCUCCCCAUGUCUGACAAGUCUUUUUCAAGCAGUUUAAGCAGCAGUUAUUCUGGAUCUCAAAUGAAUCAACCUUUAAUGGACAGUGUCCAUGCAAGAAAUCAGGGAUGACUGUGAUUAAAGAAGAGACUGAUUGAAGAGACUGGGAGUUUGAAAGAUUCCACAAGGCAGUUAAUGGUGAACAUUAUUGUAGCCCACAUGCAUGAAAAAGAAGGCAGAGCUGUUAGAAAUGCAACAAAGGAGUUCCAUGCUCUUGGGACUGUGUCCCUGAGUCAUGAAAAAACUCAUACUCUAAAAAAGGAUAUGAACAUUUCUAUGACAUUCAGAGCAACAAAGGCUUUCUUGAGUGGCGUACAAAGACUGUGCAAUGUAAAUCCAGAACCUCCUCUAUCACAGGACAUAGUGGAACUAAAAGGAGGUCCCACAUUAUCAAGAAUGAUUGGAACCAUAGAUUAACAGAAAAUGGGAGAUGAGUGUAUGGAAGCCGUGUUUCUCCUCCACUACACAACUGACCAUGACGUAGUGUUCCAAAAGAUGAGAGAAACUUUCCACUACCACAAGCAGAUUCUCCACGACCGGCAGCACUCAGCUGAUGUACUAGAAAUGUUUCCUCAUUUCUUGGAUGUCAAAGGACUGGUAAAUAUUAAAUAAGAAUUAUGUUACAUUAGAUGUCUAAAUGGUUGUCUUUCCUUUUUUAAUUAGAUUUUGCAAGACCACCAGUUUUAAAGAAAAAGUAAUCAGUGAGGCCAGGAACCUUAAAGAGACUGCUCUUCUCAAACAGCAUCUGAAAGCUGCAUUGAAUGAACGAUCUGACACUACCGAUGAUCCAGAAUUGGACAGCGACAUGUCUUCUUGUCCUGCUGCAUCUUCUCACUCCACAACCAGCUGAAAGAAAGCGGCCCAAGAAGAUUCGUGUUGGAAAGGCAACAGAUCAUCUGUCUUGCUAAAGCCUUGAUGAUCAUCUCCUGACUACUGAAGGAAACCCUCAGCCAUAUCUUCUUGCCUCAGGGACUUCUAAAGCACAGGUUUUCACCUUUUACAUGGUCUUGGACAAAAAACCUUUGCCUUGUCAGUCAUGUACAUCCUUGGGUGCUUUUGAUGAGCUGUCAGAAAAUUCAAAGAGCUGAGAGCAAAGCUGUUGAACAAGCAGUAAUUGUCGUAUUCAACCAAAAUGUUAAGUUGUUUCCUCUGCACUUCAUCCUUUGGUUCAGCUUUGCUUUUGUUCAGGCACCUCAAACUAAUUCAUGGAAUGUAUCCUAGAAAAAAUCUGAAAUUUGGUCAAGCAGUUUGUUGCUUGCAGUUCUCUAGUUAUUCUGGAUUUAGGAGACAUCUGAUUAAGAUACAUUCUUCAAUUGGUGACAGAUGUGCUCCUAACAAGACCCCUUCAAGUUAUGAUAAUGAAGAAGACAAUUCUCAUUCCUUAAAUGAUGAAAUACAUCAGGCCCUUCAAUAUGACUAUUUUUCAUGUCCACACUUUAAAUUUUUCUUUUUACUCUUUCUUUUUUGUGUAAGACAGUCGUAAAAAGCAUUUCACUACAUGUCAUACUGUGUAUGAUUUUGUAUGUGACCAAUAAAAUUUGAAUUUGAAUUUGAAAUUUGAAGACUCACAAGAAAGAUAUGUGUGCAUCUAUUAUAGAAAAUCUUUUGGGGAGUGGUGUACCAAAUACUGUAGUUCUUUCCACAAUUGAAAAUUUGGAGGAAUUUGUGGAAGAUCUGCAAUUUAAUAUUAAAAACCAUGUUGUAAACCUGCUCCCAGGUAACAAUCCAUAAAAGUUUGAAAGUUUGGACAACCCUUUCAGCCAAUUAAACACUGACACCAAAUGGAAGAAAUGGGGAGUAGUAGAGCCAGUUGAACUACGCCUUGGUGUUAGGUAUGAUACCAGAUGAAAUUACAAAACUGGAACUUAUGAACAAGUUCCUGUUAAUGAUAAAUAAAUUAUAUAUUCCAAUUUUGAAAAAAAUCCAGUUUAUUUUCAGAAAUGAAAACAUUUGUGAGAUUAUGCAAAUAUGUACUCAUUCUGACAUAUAUGAAGACUUCUGUGAUGGUAGCUACUUUAAAAGUCAUCCUUUAUUUUCGACUAAUAAAUUUGCUCUCCAAAAUCUAGCCAUGGGGUCACAGUCCAGUGACUUCUGUGCCGGUCCCAAGCCCAGAUAAAUAGAGAGGGUUGUGUCAGGAAGGGCAUCCGGCGUAAAACAUUGCCAAAUUUAACCAUGCGAAUCGUCACUAACCUCACUAACCUCUUUUUUGGCAUCAAGAGGAAAAGCCUGCUCAGUACUGCAAUAUUUUAAUACUGCUGAAUACUGUGGUUGACAUCAUGCACAAUAUUUUGGAAGGGGUUGGUCAAUAUGAGAUCAAACUACUUUUUGAACAUCUCAUUGAACAUUUCAUCUGUAAAGAAAGCUUGUUAAACAUGAUGCUUUUAAUUAUGGCUAUUUUGGAAACUAAGAACAAGGCAACAAAUAUUAACCUUGACUGUGGAUGGAAUAGGCUUAAAUGCAUCGCAAACACUGUGUUUAGUCACAAACAUAGACCUUUGAUAUUUGGCGACCUAGUACCAGAGGAUGAUUUGCACUGGCGCUUGUUGCUCUUGUUGUUAAACAUCAUAAACAUUGUGUACUCAUACUGUAUCACUGAGGGGAUGACAGUGUAUUCAAAGCACCUUAUUGUUGAACAUUAUCAACUCUUCAAAGAACUGUACCCAUCAAAAAAGUUGCUUCCAAAAUAUAAUUUUAUGGUCCACUACCCAAGGUGCAUUAGAAGGACUGGACCAUGCAUUCAUAUCUGGAUCUGAGAUUUGAAGCAAAGCACAAUUUUUUUUAAAAGAUUCUGUGAAGAACUUCAAGAAUUUAACAGUAUCACUUGCAAAUAAACACCAGUUUUCAGUAGCAUAUCAUUGGGAAUGCUUGUCUUUAAAAGCAGAUUAGUCUGGUCCAGUCAAAAUGUGUUCAUUUGAGACACUUGAAUUUUCAGAAAAUAUAAGUGCAUCGAUCUAUGUUGAUUCACAAGCCACUGUCAAUCUCACAAAGUGGGUAAGAUGUGGUGUUGAGUAUCAUGUUGGACUCUUUGUUUGCACAGGUACUGAUGAAAACAUGCCACUUUUCAACAAAAUAACCUCAAUCAUUUUACAUAAUGGUUAAAGUGUUUUUUGUUUUGAUUGAACAUGAAUCACUUUCAUGCAUUUCACUUGAGUGAAAACAUACCAAGGAACAUAAUGUUUAUAGAAAGGGAAAGAUUAAGACAUUUCAAAUCUUUUGAUGCCCAAAUGUCAUACUGGUGUGAUUCACAGUUUUUUGUUGUGUCAGAGAGUUGUAUUAUCUGAUUUCUUACUGAAAUGAGUUCACUGUGAAGUUCUUCCUUGUUACUUUAUCUGAUGUUUAAAUGUUUACCUCAACCUAGGUUACACAAUCCUACUGCACUACUGUUUUUAUAAUCCUGCAGGCUUGAUUUUAUAUAGUGCAGUGAUGUGUUGACAAUGUUUUAUACAAUUUUAUACGAAACAUCUUUAGUUUACUCUGUUAGCUGCAUACAUGUAUUAAAUGUAAAUGUUUUGCAAUUUGCUGCAAUUAAUUUCAAAAUAUGUCCAUGCAUGGAAUUUGUAAAUCUAAUGUAUGGAUUUGC